CCUACGGGAGGCAGCAGUGGGGAAUAUUGGGCAAUGGGCGCAAGCCUGACCCAGCAACGCCGCGUGAAGGAAGAAGGCUUUCGGGUUGUAAACUUCUUUUAAGAGGGAAGAGCAGAAGACGGUACCUCUUGAAUAAGCCACGGCUAACUACGUGCCAGCAGCCGCGGUAAUACGUAGGUGGCAAGCGUUGUCCGGAUUUACUGGGUGUAAAGGGCGUGCAGCCGGGAAGACAAGUCAGAUGUGAAAUCCCGCGGCUCAACCGCGGAACUGCAUUUGAAACUGUUUUUCUUGAGUACCGGAGAGGUAUGCGGAAUGCGCAGUGUAGCGGUGAAAUGCUUAGAUAUUGCGCAGAACUCCGAUUGCGAAGGCAGCAUACCGGCGGCGAUCUGACGCUGAGGCACGAAAGCGUGGGUAUCGAACAGGAUUAGAUACCCGGGUAGUC
This 442-nucleotide ribosomal RNA is filed under the name uncultured bacterium. RNAcentral's name for it is "partial 16S ribosomal RNA". It matches the Rfam family "Bacterial small subunit ribosomal RNA", at positions 338 to 795 of the family's 1533-position model. The record is from RNAcentral.